CACACAACCUUCUCUCUCAUGAACUCUCUUCGGCUUCUCUCUACAUCUUUCUUGCCAAAACCUCUUCAACCGAUCUAAACACCCCACCUCCUUCAUCCCCUUCUCCUACCCCACCUGUCUCUAACCCACCUGCAAAUUAUGAAGGCUCUUCCUCUCCUCCAAAACUCUAGUUGCCCUCUGCCAGACCCAUCACCCAACAACUUGUUCCCACAUCCUCUGCAUUUUCCCCCAUGCAAAGUAUUAUUUAACUCAUGAGUUUGGUUUUAUUUCACUAAUGUUAGUAAUUUGUUUUCCAUAAGUUAUGUAACUCAUAUCACAACAAAAUGAAUUUUCUUUUUGAAACGACAUUUACAUUGCACAUUAAUUAUAACUCAUAUCACAAUGAGAAGAAAGUUGAGUUGCACAUGUAUAAAUAAAGGAUGAUAUUUAUGACAAUUUAAUAAAAAGAUAAUAAAAAAUAAUCUGAUGUGAAUGCUGAAUAAUCAAUGAAUAGAAACCUAAUAAUGACUCACAAAUUGAACUUAUAACAAGUUUACUUUAUAUUAAUAACUUAGGUUUUCUAGUUGAAAUGGUGACAUUCUUUUACCUGUAUACCUGACCCCGAAAAAUCCUCCAGGAAGGACUGCAUGGCAGCCGCAUAGAAAAUCAAGUUAUUCCACGGCCAUUGUUUUUUUUUAGCUAAAAGGUUACUAAGAUUGUCAUAAUUUCGCAUUUUGGCUUAUAAAAUUUAAAAUCGAUAAAAGUGAUUUUUGAAAUUGUUUAUCGUCAAUCAUUUUAUUCAUUCUGUUAAAAAUCUUCGUGAAUCAUUUUGACAUUCUGUGAAAUGUCAAAAGUCAAUCAUAAAUGACAUUAGGGAUUUGGAUCUCAGAUAUAAAUUGUAGAGAUUUUAGAGAUCCUUAUAUUUUAAUUGUUCAUCAUAAAUCGUACGGUUAGAAAUUAUUUUGAAAUUUUUAUUUAAAAGUAAACAUAAAU
This 972-nucleotide long non-coding RNA is filed under the name Malus domestica (apple). RNAcentral's name for it is "long non-coding RNA (MDOM_LNC000753)". Lineage: Eukaryota; Viridiplantae; Streptophyta; Magnoliopsida; Rosales; Rosaceae. The record is from RNAcentral.